GCCCUUAUAGCUCAGUGGUAGAGCGCAUCACUCGUAAACCUGUUUACGUAAACUCAAAUGAUGAGGUCCAUCGUUCAAUCCGGUGUGGGGGCA
This 93-nucleotide transfer RNA is filed under the name Rhizoctonia solani. Its description in RNAcentral is "tRNA-Thr". It matches the Rfam family "tRNA". From Rfam's summary of the family: Transfer RNA (tRNA) molecules are approximately 80 nucleotides in length. Their secondary structure includes four short double-helical elements and three loops (D, anti-codon, and T loops). Lineage: Eukaryota; Fungi; Basidiomycota; Agaricomycetes; Cantharellales; Ceratobasidiaceae. The record is from RNAcentral.